Long non-coding RNA from Helianthus annuus (common sunflower), 903 nucleotides. RefSeq lists it as uncharacterized. The record is from RefSeq and is a predicted model, not a curated record. Lineage: Eukaryota; Viridiplantae; Streptophyta; Magnoliopsida; Asterales; Asteraceae. The transcript has 3 exons.
UUUGUUUAUUUUAUGUAUGUAACUUUUUGUUUAUUUUCUCCUCUCCCACAUUUGAUUUUCUCCAAACAGAGAGUGGAUGAGAGUGAACACCCAGAAACACCAUUCACAAAAAAUUUGCAUUAAGCAUGGUUGACUUGAAUAUCCAACCACCACGGAGUGUUGCCGGUGGUACGGCGUCAUUCAAUGAAGAUCCAGAAGCUUCUUUAACGGGUUCACCCUUAAAUGUUAUCCCACAUAAUAUUUUACCUAAUUUUGCACUUAAUGAAGAUGCAUUGGCUGAGAGCAGAGUUGUUGAAGAUCCGAAACCUAUUUCUACAGAGUUUCCAGCAAUUGAAGGUUUUCAACGAAAACGUGGACGAUUCUGCUGAGCCCAGAUGCAUACGAGCACAUGAGCAUAUUACCUUUUUGACGUUUAGAUUUUUAUGGGAUCUUUUUGACUUUUUUUUGUUUUUUUUUCUAUGGAGACUCAGAUCUGCAUCCAAACGGCAUCAACGAUGAUGACGAUGGUGUUCAGAAUUGUACUUUUACAGAGUUGAUAUCCACAGAUCAGUUUUAUCUGGAAGUAUGUAUUUUUUUUAGGUAUAUCUUUCGUGGAGGUUGGAUGAUGUAUGAAGAUGCCAGAUUUGAGAUGUGGAGUUCGUCAAACCAAAAAAGGUAAUAAUAAGAACGUUGAUGACAACGCAACACCUCUUUUAGCCCUAACUCCUUGAAGCGGGACCCGAUGAGGCAAAGUUCAGGCACCAAAAUCACCUACCGCCAGCCCAGUGGUCCGCGGGCAUUUGUAUCCAAUGCCAAGACCCGUUGGCAGAGGUCGAGUUGGUCGACGAACAAAUGUAACAAUCGAAGAAAAAAUGCAUGUUACAUUUUUUCGUGUUACAUAAAUAAUGUGUGUUACUGGGUAUA